This 1226-nucleotide long non-coding RNA is filed under the name Macaca fascicularis (crab-eating macaque). Its description in RNAcentral is "lncRNA (ENSMFAG00000057309.1)". Lineage: Eukaryota; Metazoa; Chordata; Mammalia; Primates; Cercopithecidae. The record is from RNAcentral.
CACAGGGAUGGAUGGGCCGCAGGCAUGGGCUGAUGCUUCCCUUAAAAGAGUUGAGGAUGCCCAUCUCAGGGCUGGGAGCUCUACGUGGUGCUUGGAGCACCAGUUGUCCUGAGCAGGUGUACUGAAGCUGGGAAAGCCCUUGGCCUCUGUCCCUUUCUUGGUCUUGAUCCACGGCUGUCCUGUGCCCACCACGCUGCCAUGUGCAGCCAGCCCAAGGGCUGGGACUCCAUCAGGGCAGCAAAGGCUAAGCCGAGGUUGACUGCCCAGCUCAGCAGGGCAUCGAAGCAGGCUUGGGCUUGAGUCCAACACUUUCCCAGAGGCAGCUAGCGGCGUGGGGGCUGGACGGCCAGUGCUCCAGGCCUUUGCCCAUAUCAUUUGUGGUGUCCCAGCCAAACCAGACUCACCGGGGCUGCAUUUAGUGGCUUAGCACUCAGAGUCAUCCUCCCCAGGCCUCCCAGAGUAACUGGAAGCCCAGUUCAUCUUCUGUCCUUGCUGGAGGAGGCCCCAUGGGUGGCAGUGAGCCUUUUCCAGGGAGUCUCCACUCGGUGCCAGGAUGCUGGUGUUGGCGGUGCUUCGGGCAUGGUGGGAACAGCCUCAGACCCCGCUGACAGUCACAUUCCUUCAGACUGCAUCUGAAAGGAACCUUGUCAUCCAGAUAGACCAACCCUCACCUCUGCAUCAACUCUCCAGGGCUGGUGGCCAGCGUCCUGCCUGCUUUCCUGAGAGCCUGGAAGGAUGCAGUUAGCGGAACAGCUCUUCAAGGAAUCCAGCGAUAGAGAAGAUAAGUGCCUUGCCCUCCUGGCGCUAAGAUAUCAUCUCCCAUCCAUGGCCUCAGGGGUGAGAGCGCAGCCUCUAGGCUGGGUGGUCUGGGAUCAAUUCCCGGCUCCUCCGUCACUCUCCGCAACCUUGGCCGUGUGACUUGCAACCUCAUGCUCCCUUUCCUCACCUGCAGUGAGGACAAGCUGAGGGCUUCAAGAGACGAUGCUUCACACACAGCGAGUGCAUGCGUGAAUAAGCUGCAGCCACACAGACUCACAAUCAGGAAUCAGGGACCAUCAGAGGAAAGACUCCUGUCUGAAGGAUGUGCCUUUAUCCCAGACACUGACAAACACCUUUGCCAAGAGAACUCAGAAACAACUGCAAACCCCAACCCAAAAAAUUGGACUCUGGAAAACGGCUCGUGAAAUCUCAGCAUCUGCCUUGUCUGGUGAGCCUCGUAAGCCACU